AAUUUUGGACAUGGGGUGCAAGCCUGAUCCAGUCAUGCCGCGUGAGUGAAGAAGGCCUUCGGGUUGUAAAGUUCUUUCGGUCGGAAAGAAAUCGCGCCGGCUCACACCCUGCGCGGUUGACGGUACCGUCAUAAUAAGCACUGGCCAACUACGUGCCAGCAGCCGCGGUAAUACGUAGGGUGCGAGCGUUAAUCGGAAUUACUGGGCGUAAAGCGUGCGCAGGCAGUUGAUUAAGACAGGCGUGAAAUCCCCGGGCUUAACCUGGGAACUGCGCUUGUGACUGGUCAGCUAGAGUACGGCAGAGGGGGGUAGAAUUCCACGUGUAGCAGUGAAAUGCGUAGAGAUGUGGAGGAACACCGAUGGCGAAGGCAGCCCCCUGGGCCGAUACUGACGCUCAUGCACGAAAGCGUGGGUAGCAAACAGG
This 424-nucleotide ribosomal RNA is filed under the name uncultured bacterium. RNAcentral's name for it is "partial 16S ribosomal RNA". It matches the Rfam family "Bacterial small subunit ribosomal RNA", at positions 360 to 776 of the family's 1533-position model. The record is from RNAcentral.